CAGUAGCCGCGGUAAUACGUAGGGUGCGAGCGUUAAUCGGAAUUACUGGGCGUAAAGCGUGCGCAGGCGGUCCGCUAAGACAGAUGUGAAAUCCCCGGGCUUAACCUGGGAACUGCAUUUGUGACUGGCGGGCUAGAGUAUGGCAGAGGGGGGUAGAAUUCCACGUGUAGCAGUGAAAUGCGUAGAGAUGUGGAGGAAUACCGAUGGCGAAGGCAGCCCCCUGGGCCAAUACUGACGCUCAUGCACGAAAGCGUGGGGAGCAAACAGGAUUAGAUACCCGUGUAGUCCCUGUCUCUUAUAC
Molecule: ribosomal RNA, 301 nt
Filed under: uncultured bacterium
Lineage: Bacteria
Description: partial 16S ribosomal RNA
Rfam family: Bacterial small subunit ribosomal RNA
Source: RNAcentral